Molecule: ribosomal RNA, 1379 nt
Filed under: Triticum aestivum (bread wheat)
Lineage: Eukaryota; Viridiplantae; Streptophyta; Magnoliopsida; Poales; Poaceae
Description: partial small subunit ribosomal RNA
Source: RNAcentral
UGAAAACCUAAUCGCCAAUCCCCUUCCGUCCUCGCAUCUCGCCCACUUUCUCCUCCCUUCGCCGCCGCCUCCUCUCCUCGCCUCUUCCCAUGCUCUACACCACCACCACCACCACCACCACCACCACCACGCCCCUGCUCCUACACCGCCUCGCCGCCGGCCGUCUCUGCGCCUGUUCGUCUGCCCCCUCGGAAGGCACCGAGUUGCGGCCAGCCCGUGCUCAGCCUCCGCCCAUGCGCUCGAGAAGAAGAGAGGGGCAGCCGCAGGGUAGGAGCAGCCACAACAGUCGCCAGUGCUGCCUCAUCUACCGCCCUUCACGCCACCAUCCAUCCACCCGGUGAACUGGAGAGGCAGAUGAUGAGCGUCGCCUCGUAUCUUGGGGCUGGAUCCCGAUUCUGCCGCUCCACGGCAUGCCGUCCGCCUUUUCCUCCACCUUGUGUGGCUGCUCUGGUCAACCUCUUCCUCAUCGUAGGUGCUCAACAGGAGAAGCGCGAGCAGCCGGUGCAGCCGAGAGUUCGCCUGGUUGCAGCUCGACUUCAGCCAACAUCAGCCUUUGUUGCUGUUACUGUCCCAUUUUGAGAACCAAAGAAAUACUGCCUUUCAGCUAGAUGUGUGUUAGGUGAAUGCUGCAGGCCAUUUUGUUCAUUGGCCCGGCAUGAUUUGGAUUGCAUCACCUACAGAGGUCUGUGUGAUUGAUGAGCUGGCUUAGGAAGGCACAGUCGAUUAUUAUUGCCUAUUUCUCCAUUGAAAGCUGCUGCUACUUUCAUCUUGGAAGUAGGAUAUGCAUUUGAUCCAGUCCAUGUCUUGGUCUCUUUUUGAAGUGUGUUUAGCCAUGUUCUUCCUACAUGUGUUCAAUCCAUCGGUAGCUAGCGGAUGUUGUGCUGUGACAAAGGUGCACUCCAGGAAAAAAUUAUUCUGCAAAGAAUCUUUAUCAACAAAGCGCAUAGGGAAGAUUGUCAGUGUCAGCGACCAAUUAUUUUGUUCAGCAGGUGUUCCCUUCAAAUGAGGCUCCAGCAAGGGGAUGCUAGCAGAUAUCAACCGGUUGGUUGAAUGUGUGCACAUUCUGUAAAGUCAACUUAAAGCUUCAGCAAGUGUGUUCAUUGUCCUCUCCAUUUCAAACAAACCAUCAGCUGGUUCUUUAAUAUUUUAUUACUUAAUCAUACUGUAGAAUUUGUUUCUUGGUGAUCUAAAACUUAUAGCCAUUAAGGGAAGCCCUUGGUUUGUAUUAGGUACUUGUGCCAUUGGGUGGAACUGUAUGAAAAAUAGUGAGAGAAUGCUGGUAGAAAUUAGCAGUAAUGUAAUUACAUAGAGAGAAGGUACUCACAUGUCACAUCAUAUUUCCCCAUGCUCCUCUUCAAUUGCAACAACUAUUGAAUUUA